Esox lucius (northern pike) is the source of this 745-nucleotide long non-coding RNA. RefSeq lists it as uncharacterized. NCBI's taxonomy places the organism in Eukaryota, Metazoa, Chordata, Actinopteri, Esociformes, Esocidae. The transcript is spliced from 4 exons. The record is from RefSeq and is a predicted model, not a curated record.
ACAUCAGACAGAAAGGAAGUCCGUCUACAGACACUGUGUGUACUAACUGUACUGGUGACACCUAUUCAGAUGGAUCAUUUACAUCCUGUCAACCACACACACAAUGUGACACCUUGAAACGUCUACAAAUUGAACCUGGAACUCACUGGUCCGACUCUGAAUGUGGACCACAAACCUCCCCUCCUAUAGGUUUAAUUCUACUUGUACUUCUUGGGCCACUGGCUUUGGCAGUUGUGAUUGCUGUAAUUAUAUGUGUCAGAAAAAGAAUACAUUCUAAAUCAGCACUGUACAGAUCCGUGUCUGGACUUCACUGGAGACCUGCUGCAUUCAGGCCUGCUUCAAAUCUUCCAACAUUAUCCCAGUUCCCAAGAAGUCAAGGAUCAAAGGACCUAAUUACUACAGAUCGUCAUCCUCACCUUAUGUGGUUAUAAAGUCAUUUGAGCGCCUUGUGUUGUCCCACCUCAAGACCAUCACUGACCCUCUUCUAGACCCACUGCAGUUUGUCUACAGAACCAACAGGGCUGUGGAUGAUGUGGUCAACGUGGCUCGUCACUUCAUCCUCCAGCAUCUGGACUCCCCUGGAACCUGGAAGCACUUGUCUGACCCCCUGAUCAUCAGCACCGGCUCCCCUCAAGGCUGGGUCCUGUCCCCCUUACUCUUCUCCCCGUACCAACAGCUGCACCUCCAGUCACCACUAUCAAGCUCCUGAAGUUUGCGGAUGAGUCCACCCACAUCUGACUUAUUU